UACGUAGGUGGCAAACGUUGUCCGGAUUUAUUGGGCGUAAAGCGAGCGCAGGCGGUUUUUUAAGUCUGAUGUGAAAGCCUUCGGCUUAACCGGAGAAGUGCAUCGGAAACUGAGAAACUUGAGUGCAGAAGAGGACAGUGGAACUCCAUGUGUAGCGGUGAAAUGCGUAGAUAUAUGGAAGAACACCAGUGGCGAAGGCGGCUGUCUGGUCUGUAACUGACGCUGAGGCUCGAAAGCAUGGGUAGCAAACAGG
RNAcentral lists this ribosomal RNA (253 nucleotides) under uncultured bacterium. Its description in RNAcentral is "partial 16S ribosomal RNA". It matches the Rfam family "Bacterial small subunit ribosomal RNA", at positions 524 to 776 of the family's 1533-position model. The record is from RNAcentral.